Molecule: ribosomal RNA, 183 nt
Filed under: Triticum aestivum (bread wheat)
Lineage: Eukaryota; Viridiplantae; Streptophyta; Magnoliopsida; Poales; Poaceae
Description: partial small subunit ribosomal RNA
Source: RNAcentral
GGCCUUCGCAAGGGCAUUGCCACGCUUACCACGCUCACCGCAUGGUGCAUUUGGAAGCACCGCAACCGCUGCGUGUUCGACGGCGAUACCCCGUCCGCCUCCACGCUGUUGACGUCCAUUCAAGACGAGGCCCGGGCAUGGGCUCGAGCUGGUGCUCGCGGACUAAAUCUUUUGUUGGCAUAG